RNAcentral lists this ribosomal RNA (499 nucleotides) under uncultured soil bacterium. Its description in RNAcentral is "bacterial SSU rRNA". It matches the Rfam family "Bacterial small subunit ribosomal RNA", at positions 8 to 486 of the family's 1533-position model. The record is from RNAcentral.
AGAGUUUGAUCCUGGCUCAGAACGAACGCUGGCGGCGUGGAUAAGACAUGCAAGUCGAACGAGACUUUUCGUUGUAGCAAUACGAUGGAAAGUUUAGUGGCGAACGGGUGCUUAACACGUGGGCAACCUGCCAUGAAGUGGGGGAUAGCUCGCCGAAAGGCGAAUUAAUACCGCAUGUGAUUAGAGAGGACAUCCUUUCAAAAUUAAAGUCGGGGCAACCUGACGCUUCUUGUGGGGCCCGCGGCCUAUCAGCUAGUUGGUGAGGUAACGGCUCACCAAGGCUUUGACGGGUAGCUGGUCUGAGAGGACGACCAGCCACACUGGGACUGAGACACGGCCCAGACACCUACGGGUGGCAGCAGUCGAGAAUUUUUGACAAUGGGGGAAACCCUGAUCGAGCGACGCCGCGUGGAGGAUGAAGGUCUUCGGAUUGUAAACUCCUGUCAUUUGGGAACAAGGUGCACACGUUAACUGCGUGAGUAUUGAUAGACCAGAAGAG